This 223-nucleotide ribosomal RNA is filed under the name Salmonella enterica subsp. enterica serovar Derby. RNAcentral's name for it is "partial 16S ribosomal RNA". It matches the Rfam family "Bacterial small subunit ribosomal RNA", at positions 1 to 218 of the family's 1533-position model. RNAcentral also lists the same sequence under 1 other name. The record is from RNAcentral. Lineage: Bacteria; Pseudomonadati; Pseudomonadota; Gammaproteobacteria; Enterobacterales; Enterobacteriaceae.
UUAAAUUGAAGAGUUUGAUCAUGGCUCAGAUUGAACGCUGGCGGCAGGCCUAACACAUGCAAGUCGAACGGUAACAGGAAGCAGCUUGCUGCUUUGCUGACGAGUGGCGGACGGGUGAGUAAUGUCUGGGAAACUGCCUGAUGGAGGGGGAUAACUACUGGAAACGGUGGCUAAUACCGCAUAACGUCGCAAGACCAAAGAGGGGGACCUUCGGGCCUCUUGC